Oncorhynchus masou masou (cherry salmon) is the source of this 1391-nucleotide long non-coding RNA. RefSeq lists it as uncharacterized. The transcript has 2 exons. NCBI's taxonomy places the organism in Eukaryota, Metazoa, Chordata, Actinopteri, Salmoniformes, Salmonidae. The record is from RefSeq and is a predicted model, not a curated record.
GACUCUCCCUCCUCUCACCCUCUUUCCCUCUCCUCUCCUCUUCCUUUCUCUACCUGACUCUCCCUCCUCUCACCCUCUUUCCCUCUCCUCUCCUCUCUCUUCCUUUCUCUCGCUGACUCUCCCUCCUCUUGCCCUCUUUCCCUCUCCUCUCUCUUCCUUUCUCUCCCUGACUCUCCCUCCUCUCACCCUCUUUCUCUCUCCUCCUCCUUCCUCUCCCUGACUCUCCCUCCUCUCAUCCUCUUUCCCUCUCCUCUCUCUUCCUUUCUCUCCCUGACUCUCCCUCCUCUCACCCUCUUUCCCUCUCCUCUCUCUUCUUCUUCUCUUCUUCUCGAGGGAGGAAGUGGUAUGAAGUGGAGAGCAGGUCACAUGACUGCUGUCUGAUGUCAUCGGCGGGUGUCCAUGUUAUUGGGCUGAGGGGCCACAGCCGGGGUCCUGGCAGACAGCUCUGUGGCUUGGCCAUCCUCACAGGUGCCCGUCUGACUCUGACACAUCUGACUGGGGUUGACUCCAAUCAAGUUGUAGAAACAUCUCAAGAAUGAUCAAUGGAAACGGGAUGCAACUGAACCCAAUUUUGAGUCUCAUUGUCACGAACCUCGCCGAGGAUGGUGCCUCUUCCCUGUUCGGGUGGGGCUUGGCGGUCGUCGUCUCCGGCCUAUUAGCUGCCAUCGAUUCCCUUUCUGUUUGUUUUUGGUCAUUGGAUAAUUGGGUACACCUGUUUUGUAUUAGGGUUUGUUUGUAGGUUAUUUAAGGGCACUAGGCCCGCUGGGUAUUUGUGCGGGCUUGUUUCUUGUUACUCUGUGUUGGAUGGUGUCAUUUUGUUCCUAUCCUUAUUUGCCGGGCUAUUUCUGUCCUGUUGUUUGGACUGGCAACUUAUAUACGCCCUGUGUGUUGGCGUAACUGUUUUUGUUGCGCUGGGGAAUAAAUUUGACAAAACGACUGAACCCUGCUCUCUGCGCCUGAUUCCACCCACCACUCCUAGUUAUCGUAACAUCAAGGGCUUUAUUGGCAUGGGAAACAUGUGUUAACAUUGCCAAAGCAAGUAAGGUAGAUAAUAUAUAAAGUGAAAUAAACAAUAAAAAUUUACAGUAGACAUCACACAUACAGAAGUUUCAAAACAAUAAAGACAUUACAAAUGUCAUAUUAUAUAUAUAUAUAUACAGUGUUUUAACAAUGUACAAAUGGUAAAGGACACAAGAUAAAAUAAAUAAGCAUAGAUAUGGGUUGUAUUUACAAUGGUGCGUGUUCUACACUGGUUGCACUUUUCUGGUGGCAACAGAUCACAAAUCUUGCUGCUCUGAUGGCACACUGUGGAGUUUCAUAGCAAAGGAAAACUUAUGUAAAUAAGGUAUCUGUUUUUUAUUUGUAAUAAAUGUGCAAAUAUUUCUAAAAAA